UUCGCACCGGUAAUAUGAGGGAAGGGGAAGGGGCUAGCAUUUGAGGAGGAGGGGAUAGGAGGUCUGCAUUCGGGGAGGAGGGGAAGGAGGCUGCAUUCGGGGAGGAGGGGAAGGAGGCUGCAUUCGGAGAGGAGGGGAAGGAGGCUGCAUUUGGGGAGGAGGGGAAGGAGCCUGAGUUUGGGGAGGGGGGGUGGAGGCUGCAUUUGAGGAGAAGACAGAUGGCUGUUUGUGGAGGAGGGAAUGGAGGGACAGCCAGGGAUGACAGUUCAGCCCAGGAGACAUGCUGGGAUCCAGCAGCCUUGUA
Molecule: long non-coding RNA, 304 nt
Filed under: Aotus nancymaae (Ma's night monkey)
Lineage: Eukaryota; Metazoa; Chordata; Mammalia; Primates; Aotidae
Description: lncRNA (ENSANAG00000039276.1)
Source: RNAcentral